GAUGAACGCUGGCGGCGUGCCUAAUACAUGCAAGUCGAGCGAACAGACGAGGAGCUUGCUCCUCUGACGUUAGCGGCGGACGGGUGAGUAACACGUGGAUAACCUACCUAUAAGACUGGGAUAACUUCGGGAAACCGGAGCUAAUACCGGAUAAUAUAUUGAACCGCAUGGUUCAAUAGUGAAAGACGGUUUUGCUGUCACUUAUAGAUGGAUCCGCGCCGCAUUAGCUAGUUGGUAAGGUAACGGCUUACCAAGGCGACGAUGCGUAGCCGACCUGAGAGGGUGAUCGGCCACACUGGAGCUGAGACGCGGUCCAGACUCCUACGGGAGGCAGCAGUAGGGAAUCUUCCGCAAUGGGCGAAAGCCUGACGGAGCAACGCCGCGUGAGUGAUGAAGGUCUUCGGAUCGUAAAACUCUGUUAUUAGGGAAGAACAAAUGUGUAAGUAACUAUGCACGUCUUGACGGUACCUAAUCAGAAAGCCACGGCUAACUACGU
Molecule: ribosomal RNA, 496 nt
Filed under: uncultured bacterium
Lineage: Bacteria
Description: partial 16S ribosomal RNA
Rfam family: Bacterial small subunit ribosomal RNA
Source: RNAcentral